UGGGGCAAAGGCAGAGUGCUGCU
This 23-nucleotide non-coding RNA is filed under the name Cricetulus griseus (Chinese hamster). The record is from RNAcentral. Lineage: Eukaryota; Metazoa; Chordata; Mammalia; Rodentia; Cricetidae.